Oncorhynchus keta (chum salmon) is the source of this 6254-nucleotide long non-coding RNA. RefSeq lists it as uncharacterized. Lineage: Eukaryota; Metazoa; Chordata; Actinopteri; Salmoniformes; Salmonidae. The transcript is spliced from 3 exons. The record is from RefSeq and is a predicted model, not a curated record.
GAAGGAUAUAGGGGGGAUUGAGUGUGAGACGGAGCAAUGGAUGGGAUACAGUAAGUUAUGAGAGAGGAAAGGAAUGGGGAGAAGGAGAGGAAGAGAGUCAAUGCUUGUAACAGCCUCAAUUUGUCGGGGCGUGGUCUCUACAAGGUGUCUAACGCGUAGAGGGGUGCUGGUCCAUGUUGACUCCAAUGCUUCCCACAGUUGUGUCAAGUUGGCUGGAUGUCCUUCGGGUGGUGGACCAUUCUUGAUACACACAGGAAACUGUUGAUUGUGAAAAACCCGGCAGCGUUGCAGUUCUUGAAAAAAACGGUGACCAUGGUUGACAGAGGAAGAACAAUGAUUCCAAGCACCACCCUCCUUUUGAAGCUUCCAGUCUGUGAUUCGACCUCAAUCAGCAUGAUAGAGUGAUCUCCAGCCUUGUCCUCGUCAACACUCACACCUGUGUUAACCUCUUGGUCCUACCUGGCAUGCAGGCGUCCCAUCUAGAGCUCUGGAAAUGCAAAUGUGCUACGUUAAAUGCUAAUAGUAUUAGUUAAAACUCAAACGUUCAUUAAAAUACACAUGCAGGGUAUUGAAUUAAAGCUACACUCGUUGUGAAUCCAGGCAACAAGUCAGAUUUUUAAAAUGCUUUUCGACGAAAGCACGAGAAGCUAUUAUCUGAUAGCAUGUAACACCCCAAAAGACCCGCAGGGGACGUAAGCAAAAUAAUUAGCAUAGUCGUCGCUACACAAACCGCACAAAUAAAAUAUAAAACAUUCAUUACCUUUGACCAUCUUCUUUGUUGGCACUCCUAGAUGUCCCAUAAUCACUAUUGGGUCUUUUUUUCGAUUAAAUCGGUCCAUAUAUAGCCUAGAUAUCGAUCUAUGAAGACUGUGUGAUAAACGGAAAAAUAGCGUUUCAUAACGUAACGUUAUUUUUUUAAAUUCAAAAAGUAGACGAUUAACUUUCACAAAACACUUCGAAAUACUUUUGUAAUGCAACUUUAGGUAUUAGUACACGCUAAUAAGCUAUAAAAUUCAUCAGGAGGCGAUGUCAAUUCUAUAGGUGUCUGUUUCGAAAAAAUGUCUUGGAGAGAGCUCGACCAAAACAUCCGGUCGGAGACCGGAGGGAAUCGAUUCCCUUGAUUCGGUUAGACCAAGAAUCAAUUGCGAAUCAAAUGACAAGACUCUAGACAACGUGUGGAAGCUGUAGGCACUGCAACCUCGGCCUCAUUUAAUUCGAUUCACUUUGAACAAUUCCUUGAAGUCGCGGAUGGAUAUUUUUUUCCAUUUUCAGUGAUCAGAUAUUCCUGCACUUUUCGAUGAAACGCACGUUCUGUUAUAGUCACAGCCGUGAUUUAGCCAGUUUUAUAAACGUCUGAGUGUUUUCUAUCCACACAUACUAAUCAUAUGCAUAUACUAUAUUCCUGGCCUGAGUAGCAGGGCGCUGAAAUGUUGCGCGAUUUUUAACAGAAUGUUCUAAAAAGUAGAGGGUCGACUUAACAGGUUAACGAGAGAAUCACUGACAUGAUGUCAGCUGGUCCUUUUGUGGCAGGGCUGAAAUGCUGUGGAAAUGUUUUUUGGGGAUUCAGUUAAUUUGCAUGGCAAAGAGGGACUUGCAAUUAAUUGCAAUUCAUCUGAUCACUCUUCAUAACAUGGUGGAGUAUUUGCAAAUUGCCAUCAUACAAACUGAGGCAGCAGACUUUGUGAAAAUUAAUAUUUGUGUCAUUCGCAAAACCUUUAGCCAUGACUGUACAUACAAAAACGUGCUAAUAUGCAAACUAAAAUCAAACACACACAAAGCUACAAAGUUGCUACAUGUGGACAAGACCAAAUACAACCUCUACUUUAUUAUUGCUGGUGUCCUUCAACAUCCUCCUCGCUCGUCCUCCCACUCCUCUCCCCUUGUCCUUCCCCCUUCCUCCCAACUGCCCUUCUCCCAUUGUCCUCCCCAUCAUCUCCACCCCCCUCUCCCCUUCCUGCCCCUCUCCCCCCUUGUCUUCCCCCUCCUCCACCUUGUCCUCCCCCUCCUCUCCCCUUCACCUCCCGCUCCUCUCCCCUUCCUCCCCCCUCUCCCCAUGUCUCCGCCCUCUUCUCCCUUCCUCCUCCACCUCUCCCUUUGUCCCCCCCUCCUCUCCCCUUCCUCUCCUCUCCCCUCUUCCCUUCCUCUCCUCCUCCUCUCCCCCUCCUCUCCCUUUGUCCUCGCCCUCCUCUGCCUUUCCUCCCACUCCUCUCCCCUUGUCCCCCCCUCUCUCCUUCCCCUCCUUCCAGUGCCAUUACCUAUAUGAGAUUGAAGGAGAGUGGGGACAUGUGAGUAUGCAUGUGUUUGUUUAGGUGUGCCUAUGUGUGUGUGUAUGUGUGUCUAUAAAGAACAUGCUCCUAAGAGGGAGCUGUUAACGCCAAGCUGUACUUAGUCCCAGGGGCACACACACACACACACACACACUGCUUGAGCAACAAGGCUACGCUAAGUCACAGCCCAUUUGUCUGCAGGCCUCACAAGGCUAGGGCUAUUUUAAGAUUUCUUCUGGCCUUGAGCGCUACACAGGAGAGAAACAAGUUGUAUUUUAGCUGAAGAAAUCCAGCACUCAGUGUAUUGUACACCCAGGCCUGUACGUCCAGGCUUCUAGACUGUACACCCAGGGCUGUAAACUGUACAUCCAAGCCUCUAGACUGUACACUCAGGCCUGUAGACUGUACACCCAGGUCUCUUGACUGUACAUCCAGGCCUCUAGACUGUACACUCAGGCCUGUAGACUGUACACCCAGGUCUCUUGACUGUACACUCAGGCCUGUAGACUGUACACCCAUGCCUGUAGACUGUACAUCCAGGUCUCUUGACUAUACACUCAGGCCUGUAGACUGUACACCCAUGCCUCUAGACUGUACAUCCAGGUCUCUUGACUAUACACUCAGGCCUGUAGACUGUACACCCAUGCCUCUAGACUGUACAUCCAGGUCUCUAGACUGUACAUCCAGGUCUCUAGACUGUACACUCAGGCCUGUAGACUGUACACCCAGGGCUGUAAACUGUAAAUCCAGGUCUCUAGACUGUACACUGGGCCUGUAGACUGUACACCCAUGCCUCUAGACUGUACAUCCAGGUCUCUAGACUGUACACUCAGGCCUGUAGACUGUACACCCAGGGCUGUAAACUGUACAUCCAGGCCUCUAGACUGUACACUCAGGCCUGUAGACUGUACACCCCUUGCCUCUAGACUGUACAUCCAGGCCUCUAGACUGUACACUCAGGCCUGUAGACUGUACACCCAUGCCUCUAGACUGUACAGCCUCACUUUUCCUUGGUUCAAAUAUACAUCCAGUAAUCUACUUCUAGCAAAAACACGGCGAUACUGUACAGGAUCAUGAUCGUCUCUCGAGUUGGUUACUGCUGUGUCUCAACACAUUUUUUUCAUUUUUCAUAGGUUUACAUCCAGCAAUUGUCACCUAUGAAUAUCAUCACCUAUGAAGAUGUGACAGACAGCAGUUCCUCAUUUAGCCAAAUUUGUUAUUGUCUCAUGUGGUCUGUUCUCACCUCACAACAUCUCCUGUUGUCUGUUCUAUACUCACGUCGUCUCUCGAAGUCUGUUCUCGCCUCACGUCAUCUCCCGUUGUCUGUUCUCGCCUCACGUCAUCUCCCGUUGUCUGUUCUCGCCUCACGUCAUCUCCCGUUGUCUGUUCUUGGCUCACGUCAUCUCCUGUUGCCUGUUCUCGCAUCACGUCAUCUCCCGUUGUCUGUUCUCGCCUCAUGUCAUCUCCUGUUGCCUGUUCUCGGCUCACGUCAUCUCCAGUUGUCUGUUCUUGGCUCACGUUUUCUUCCGCCUGGUGAGUUCAGUAGCAGAGGGAAUCAAUAACAGUGACAUGGAUUGUUUCUCCUUUCUCUUAUUUCUCUCUUUCCCAUCAAUAAAUAGCAAUGUUCUGCAUCAUGUCAAUCUAUGUUCAUUCAUGUGAAUACUUGAAGACGCAUGUGUGUACUUACUACCACAUAUAUGCCUUCCUGCCUGCCUCCCUCAUCAAAACAUGCAAUCUAAUUAACUUCCCUGGGAUAUGUGGGAUUGUACCGUCCCACCUCGCCAACAGCCAAAUUCAGAACAACAGAAAUCUCAUAAUUAAAAUUCCUCAAACAUACAAGUAUUAUACACCAUUUUAAAGAUAAACAUCUUGUUAAUCCAGCCACCGUGUCUGAUUUCAAAAAGGCUUUACAGCGCAAGCACACCUUGCGAUUAUGUUAGGGGCGGCAGCGUAGCCUAGUGGUUAGAGUGUUGGACUAGUAACCGGAAGGUUGCAAGUUCAAACCCCCGAGCUGACAAGGUACAAAUCUGUCGUUCUGCCCCUGAACAGGCAGUUAACCCACUGUUCCUAGGCCGUCAUUGAAAAUAAGAAUUUGUUCUUAACUGACUUGCCUGGUUAAAUAAAUGUAAAGUAAAAAAAUUAAAUAAAAAAGGUUAUGGUAUGGUUAUCCACAGAUAACCAUACAGCAACUUUCCAAAGAAGGAGAGGUGUCACAAAAGACAGAAAUAGCGUUAAAAUGAAUCACUAACCUUUGAUGAGCUUCACCGGAUGGCACUCUCAGGACUCCAUGUUAGACAAUAUAUGUGUUUUUUGUUCGAUAAAGUUAAUCUUUAUGUACAAAAACCUAAUUUGAAAUUGGUGCGUUAUGUAUGCAUUGUCUCAAACAAACAAAAGUGCAGAGAGCCACAUCAAAUUACAGAAAUACUCAUCAUAAACAUUAAUGAAAGAUACAAGUGUGAACACACAAUUAAAGAUAAACUUCUCCUUAAUGCAACCGCUAUGUCAGAUUUCAAAAAAGUGUUACGCUAAAAGCACACCAUGCGAUUAUGUUAGGUCAGCGCCGAGCCACAGAAAACCAUUCAUCCAUUUUCCAACCAAGGAGAGGUGUCAAAAAACUCAGAAGUAGCUUUAUAAAUAUUCAUUUACCUUUGAUGAUCUUCAUCGGUAGGCACUCCCAGGAAUCCCAGUUCCACAAUAAAUGUUUGUUUUGUUCGAUAAAGUGCAUCAUUUAUGUCCAAUUACCUCCUUUUUGUUUGUGCAUUCAGUCCAGUAAUCCAAAUGCACAAUGCGCAGGCACUUAGUCCAGACGAAAAAUCAAAACAGUUCCAUUAACGUUCGUGGAAACAUGUCAAACGAUGUAUAGAAUCAAUCUUUAGGAUGUUUCUAUCAUAAAUGUUCAAUAAUGUUCCACCAGACAAUUCCUUUGUCUUUAGAAAUGAAAGGGAACGGCCGUCCGCGUGGCUUAGCUCAUGGCAUUCUGCCAGACCCCUGAUUCAAACACCUCUUAUUCGCCCCCCCUUCACAGUAGAAGCCUGACACAACGUUCUAAAGACUGUUGAGAUCGAUACUGUAUAGUGGAUAGGAAAUCACUUGAUAAACUACAAACCUCAGAUUUCCCACUUCCUGAUUGGAUUUUUUCUCAGGUUUUUGCCUGCCAUAUGAGUUCUGUUAUACUCACAGACAUAAUUCAAACAGUUUUAGAAACUUCAGAGUGUUUUCUAUCCAAGCUACUCAAUACUGCCCCCAGUCCCUGUUACGUUCCCCAGUUUAUGUGUUGUAGUUUGUAUGUUUGCAUGUGUUUAUUUCAGGAAAUGGCUUCCUGAAAUCCAUCAAGCAGCUGAUUGGUCGACUCCAGGGCUAAUUGGAGAGCUGACCCCGCCCCCUCGUCAAGACACAGCUGUCUCCAAUUACCUAUACCAGAAGCUAUAUAAAAGCCAGUGUUCUGUGCAGGAGGAGAGAAUUUUUUGCUGGAAGUAGAUUUGCUAGAGUUUUGCUGGGAGGUCAUUGCAGAUAUUUUGCUAGAGAGAUUUUGCUAGAGAGAUUUUGCUAGAGAGAUUUUGCUAGAGAGAUUUUGCUAGAGAGAUUUUGCUAGAGAGAUUUUGCUAGAGAUUUUGCUAGGAGUUCAUUGCUGAGAGUUGGUAUGUUUUGUGAGUUUGUUGCUCAGAUAGAGCUUAUAUGACGUCCUUUGUUUCUUAGUUUGUUUGUGAAAAUUGUUUAAUAUUCUGUUUCAUUUGUUCCCAGGGGGGAAGGGGAAGGCACCUAGGGAGUGCUUAGGCAAGAGGCCCGCGGGCAUACAUAUACCCGUAGCAUAUUCGCUGUCUAGGCACACUAGGUAAGACCUGGGCGGACCACCCCUGUAUUUUGGUUAGUGCACCAGGUGGUGCUAAAUUAGGUAAGUAGUGGGUAGGCAGGUAAGAUAGGAGAGGGGGGCUUUGAGAUUUACUUUCUUUGCUUUGGUUCCGUCCAGCCCCUUUUCCCCAUAUUACC